UGGGAACGUACCCUUUGGUUCGGAACAACCCAGGGAAACUUGGGCUAAUACCGGAUACGUCCGUAAGGAGAAAGAUUUAUCGCCAAGGGAUCGGCCCGCGUCUGAUUAGCUAGUUGGUGGGGUAAUGGCCCACUAAGGCUACGAUCAGUAGCUGGUCUGAGAGGAUGAUCAGCCGCAUUGGGACUGAGACACGGCCCAAACUCCUACGGGAGGCAG
RNAcentral lists this ribosomal RNA (216 nucleotides) under uncultured bacterium. RNAcentral describes it as "partial 16S ribosomal RNA". It matches the Rfam family "Bacterial small subunit ribosomal RNA", at positions 118 to 351 of the family's 1533-position model. The record is from RNAcentral.